This 75-nucleotide transfer RNA is filed under the name Clostridiales bacterium. Its description in RNAcentral is "tRNA-Glu". It matches the Rfam family "tRNA". From Rfam's summary of the family: Transfer RNA (tRNA) molecules are approximately 80 nucleotides in length. Their secondary structure includes four short double-helical elements and three loops (D, anti-codon, and T loops). RNAcentral also lists the same sequence under 3 other names. The record is from RNAcentral. Lineage: Bacteria; Bacillati; Bacillota; Clostridia; Eubacteriales.
GGCCCGUUGGUCAAGCGGUUAAGACACCGCCCUUUCACGGCGGUAACAGCAGUUCGAUUCUGCUACGGGUCACCA